This 891-nucleotide ribosomal RNA is filed under the name Tritrichomonas foetus. RNAcentral describes it as "SSU rRNA". It matches the Rfam family "Eukaryotic small subunit ribosomal RNA", at positions 425 to 1472 of the family's 1831-position model. Lineage: Eukaryota; Parabasalia; Tritrichomonadida; Tritrichomonadidae. The record is from RNAcentral.
GCAGCAGGCGCGAAACUUACCCACUCGAGACUUUCGGAGGUGGUAAUGACCAGUUACAUGUCAACCUUUUUGGUUGUUUGUAUAGGAUUGCACUUUUCCAGUGCAGUGAAACCUAGCAGAGGGCCAGUCUGGUGCCAGCAGCUGCGGUAAUUCCGGCUCUGCGAGUUUGCUCCCAUAUUGUUGCAGUUAAAACGCUCGUAGUCAGAACUGCCUGCAAAGGCGUACGAACAUCUGUUCGUUCACUGUGAACAAAUCAGGACGCUUAGUGUAUGGUUUUAGGAAUGACUUAGCGCAGUAUGAUAUCUUUACCUUUGGUAAGAUCAAUGAGAGCCACCGGGGGUAGAUCUAUUUCAUGGCGAACGGUGGAAUGUUUUGACCCAUGAGAGAGAAACGAAGGCGAAAGCAUCUACCUAGAGGGUUUCUGUCGAUCAAGGGCGAGAGUAGGAGUAUCCAACCGGAUCAGAGACCCGGGUAGUUCCUACCUUAAACGAUGCCGACAGGGGCUUGUCCUUUUAUGAGGGCAGGACCUUAGGAGAAAUCAUAGUUCUUGGGCUCUGGGGGAACUACGACCGCAAGGCUGAAACUUGAAGGAAUUGACGGAAGGGCACACCAGGGGUGGAGCUUGUGGCUUAAUUUGAAUCAACACGGGGAAACUUACCAGGACCAGAUGUUUUUAAUGACUGACAGGCUUCGGGUCUUUCAGGAUAUGACUUUUGGUGGUGCAUGGCCGUUGGUGGUGCGUGGGUUGACCUGUCAAGCGUUGAUUCAGAUAACGAGCGAGAUUAUCGCCAAUUAAAUACUCGUUUCUGUUUACAGAGAUAGAGUUCUAAUUGGGACUCCCUGCGUAUCAAGCAGGAGGAAGAGGGUAGCAAUAACAGGUCCGUGAUGUCC